GACGAACGCUGGCGGCGUGCCUAAUACAUGCAAGUCGAGCGCAGGAAGCCGUCUGAACCCUUCGGGGGGACGACGGUGGAAUGAGCGGCGGACGGGUGAGUAACACGUAAAGAACCUGCCCAUAGGUCUGGGAUAACCACGAGAAAUCGGGGCUAAUACCGGAUGUGUCAUCGGACCGCAUGGUCCGCUGAUGAAAGGCGCUUCGGCGUCGCCCAUGGAUGGCUUUGCGGUGCAUUAGCUAGUUGGUGGGGUAACGGCCCACCAAGGCGACGAUGCAUAGCCGACCUGAGAGGGUGAUCGGCCACACUGGGACUGAGACACGGCCCAGACUCCUACGGGAGGCAGCAGUAGGGAAUCUUCCACAAUGGACGAAAGUCUGAUGGAGCAACGCCGCGUGAACGAUGAAGGCUUUCGGGUCGUAAAGUUCUGUUGUAAGGGAAGAACAAGUGCCGCAGGCAAUGGCGGCACCUUGACGGUACCUUGCGAGAAAGCCACGGCUAACUACGUGCCAGCAGCCGCGGUAAU
RNAcentral lists this ribosomal RNA (525 nucleotides) under uncultured bacterium. RNAcentral's name for it is "bacterial SSU rRNA". It matches the Rfam family "Bacterial small subunit ribosomal RNA", at positions 28 to 524 of the family's 1533-position model. The record is from RNAcentral.